CCUACGGGUGGCAGCAGUGGGGAAUAUUGGACAAUGGGCGAAAGCCUGAUCCAGCCAUGCCGCGUGUGUGAAGAAGGCCUUCGGGUUGUAAAGCACUUUCAGUGGGGAAGAAAGCCUUGGGGCUAAUACCCUCGAGGAAGGACAUCACCCACAGAAGAAGCACCGGCUAACUCCGUGCCAGCAGCCGCGGUAAUACGGAGGGUGCGAGCGUUAAUCGGAAUUACUGGGCGUAAAGCGCGCGUAGGCGGUCUGAUAAGCCGGUUGUGAAAGCCCCGGGCUCAACCUGGGAACGGCAUCCGGAACGGUCAGGCUAGAGUGCAGGAGAGGAAGGUAGAAUUACCGGUGUAGCGGUGAAAUGCGUAGAGAUCGGGAGGAAUACCAGUGGCGAAGGCGGCCUUCUGGACUGACACUGACGCUGAGGUGCGAAAGCGUGGGUAGCAAACAGGAUUAGAUACCCCUGUAGUC
This 465-nucleotide ribosomal RNA is filed under the name Vreelandella stevensii. RNAcentral describes it as "partial 16S ribosomal RNA". It matches the Rfam family "Bacterial small subunit ribosomal RNA", at positions 338 to 795 of the family's 1533-position model. The record is from RNAcentral. Lineage: Bacteria; Pseudomonadati; Pseudomonadota; Gammaproteobacteria; Oceanospirillales; Halomonadaceae.